This 253-nucleotide ribosomal RNA is filed under the name uncultured bacterium. RNAcentral's name for it is "partial 16S ribosomal RNA". It matches the Rfam family "Bacterial small subunit ribosomal RNA", at positions 524 to 776 of the family's 1533-position model. The record is from RNAcentral.
UACAGAGGUGGCAAGCGUUGUUCGGAAUUACUGGGCGUAAAGGGCGCGUAGGCGGCCAUCUAAGUCAGACGUGAAAUCCCCCGGCUUAACCUGGGAACUGCGUCUGAUACUGGACGGCUUGAGUAUGGGAGAGGGGUGUAGAAUUCCAGGUGUAGCGGUGAAAUGCGCAGAUAUCAGGAGGAACACCAAUGGCGAAGGCAGCUCGCUGGAACGGUACUGACGCUGAGGCGCGAAAGCGUGGGGAGCGAACAGG